ACAGACCGCCAAACGGACAGGGUUUCCCCUGUACGUGGACAGAGUCUCCCUUGUACGUCCAAGGCGUCACAAUCCAUACAAUGCACGAGGUUUCAAUCAGGAACAGCAUACACGCAAAGAUUGCAUAAGGAAGGUAUCGAAAUCAUAAAUACAUCUAUGCUAUUACAAGCAUUCAACUCACAUACAUUACAUCACAUAUUACACUUUUUAUUCUCUUUUUAGCUUCCAAAUACAAUCUUGUUCUUAACAUAAUUAUUACAACAUUGUUCAUUUCAUUUCUAUACCCCUAAGCUAAGAUGACUUGGGGUACUGCUAUCUGGUCUCAGUGAUAGGACGCUAACUAUGGAGCUACGCCUUUUCCUCGCGCCGCUGCGCCGCUCGCGUGUGAACCUGUAACCCCUAAAAACAACACGGAGGUGAGAACUAUUGUCCAUAAUUCUCAGUGGGUACGGCCACCCAAAGGAAGAGCUCGACCCACCAAGUCCAAAGGAGGCACUGCAAACAUGUUAGUCCAACAAAUAUGCACAGAUAUAUAUAAUUUAUGCAACUAACAAUUAUCAUAUUCAUGCCUCACAAUAUGCAACAUGCGAAUCAUGCAACUUAUGCAAGUAGAUUAAUUGAUUAUACUCUUUACCAUUU
RNAcentral lists this long non-coding RNA (639 nucleotides) under Ananas comosus (pineapple). RNAcentral's name for it is "long non-coding RNA (ACOM_LNC007293)". The record is from RNAcentral. Lineage: Eukaryota; Viridiplantae; Streptophyta; Magnoliopsida; Poales; Bromeliaceae.